CCCUGGCGACGAGAGGCGGACGGGUGAGGAACGCUUGGGAAUCUGCCCAUCAGCGGGGGACAACCCGGGGAAACCCGGGCUAAUACCGCAUACGCUCUACGGAGGAAAGCCGGGGACCGCAAGGCCUGGCACUGAUGGAUGAGCCCAAGUCGGAUUAGCUAGUUGGCGGGGUAACGGCCCACCAAGGCGACGAUCCGUAGCUGGUCUGAGAGGACGAUCAGCCACACUGGGACUGAGACACGGCCCAG
Molecule: ribosomal RNA, 248 nt
Filed under: uncultured bacterium
Lineage: Bacteria
Description: partial 16S ribosomal RNA
Rfam family: Bacterial small subunit ribosomal RNA
Source: RNAcentral